This 693-nucleotide ribosomal RNA is filed under the name Vibrio vulnificus. RNAcentral describes it as "partial 23S ribosomal RNA". It matches the Rfam family "Bacterial large subunit ribosomal RNA", at positions 1218 to 1895 of the family's 2925-position model. The record is from RNAcentral. Lineage: Bacteria; Pseudomonadati; Pseudomonadota; Gammaproteobacteria; Vibrionales; Vibrionaceae.
UGAACAUUGGGUAGGGGAGCGUUCUGUAAGCCGUUGAAGGUGUGUUGUAAAGCAUGCUGGAGGUAUCAGAAGUGCGAAUGCUGACAUGAGUAACGACAAGGGGGGUGAAAAACCUCCCCGCCGGAAGACCAAGGGUUCCUGUCCAACGUUAAUCGGGGCAGGGUAAGUCGACCCCUAAGGCGAGGCUGAAAAGCGUAGUCGAUGGGAAACGGGUUAAUAUUCCCGUACUUCUUACAAUUGCGAUGGGGGGACGGAGAAGGCUAGGUGGGCCUGGCGACGGUUGUCCAGGUUCAAGUGCGUAGGCUGAGUGUUUAGGUAAAUCCGGAUACUCUUAAGGCUGAGACACGACGUCGAGCUACUACGGUAGUGAAGUCAUUGAUGCCAUGCUUCCAGGAAAAGCCUCUAAGCUUCAGAUUGUAAGGAAUCGUACCCCAAACCGACACAGGUGGUCGGGUAGAGAAUACCAAGGCGCUUGAGAGAACUCGGGUGAAGGAACUAGGCAAAAUGGUACCGUAACUUCGGGAGAAGGUACGCUCUUGAUGGUGAAGUCCCUUGCGGAUGGAGCUGACGAGAGUCGCAGAUACCAGGUGGCUGCAACUGUUUAUUAAAAACACAGCACUGUGCAAAAUCGUAAGAUGACGUAUACGGUGUGACGCCUGCCCGGUGCCGGAAGGUUAAUUGAUGGGGUUAGCG